This 1533-nucleotide ribosomal RNA is filed under the name metagenome. RNAcentral describes it as "bacterial SSU rRNA". It matches the Rfam family "Bacterial small subunit ribosomal RNA". The record is from RNAcentral.
AGAGUUUGAUUCUGGCUCAGAACGAACGCUGGCAGCGUGGAUUAGGCAUGCAAGUCGAACGUGAAGCCAAUGAACAAUCUUUCGGGAGAGUGAUUUGGUGGAAAGUGGCGAAAGGGUGAGUAACGCGUGGGUAAGCUACCCUGAAGUUUGGGACAACCCGCCGAAAGGCGGGCUAAUACCGGAUGUGGUCACUGGAUGCAUAUCCGGAUGACUAAAGGUGGGGAUCUUUCGGGACCUGCCGCUUUUGGCGGUGCCCGCGUGCCAUCAGCUUGUUGGUAGGGUAACGGCCUACCAAGGCUUACGGCUAGCCGGCCUGAGAGGGUGACCGGCCACACUGGGACUGAGACACUGCCCAGACUCCUACGGGAGGCUGCAGUCGAGGAUCAUUCGCAAUGCGCGAAAGCGUGACGAUGCGACGCUGCGUGGAGGAUGAAGGCCUUCGGGUCGUAAACUCCUGUCAUGAGGGAACAGCCAUUCUACUCCUAAUACGAGUAGGACUCGAUGGUACCUCAAGAGGAAGCCACGGCUAACUCUGUGCCAGCAGCCGCGGUAAUACAAAGGUGGCGAGCGUUGUUCGGAUUUACUGGGCGUAAAGGGUGCUUAGGUGGUUUCGUAUGUCGGAUGUGAAAGCCCAUGGCUCAACCGUGGAAUUGCAUUCGAAACUGCGGAACUAGAGUGCAGGAUGGGAGAGCGGAAUUCUUGGUGUAGCGGUGAAAUGCGUUGAUAUCAAGAAGAACACCGGUGGCGAAGGCGGCUCUCUGGAAAGUCACUGACACUGAGGCACGAAAGCUGGGGGAGCAAACAGGAUUAGAUACCCUGGUAGUCCCAGCCGUAAACGGUGCACACUUGGUGUGGGGAGAUUUAACCCUCUCCGUGCCGGAGCUAACGCGUUAAGUGUGCCGCCUGGGGAGUACGGCCGCAAGGCUAAAACUCAAAGAAAUUGACGGGGGCCCGCACAAGCGGAGGAGCAUGUGGCUUAAUUCGAUCAACGCGAAGAACCUUACCAGGGCUUGACAUAUACCUGCACGCCCCUCGAAAGGGGGGAAGCCUUUGAGGGUGGUAUACAGGUGCUGCAUGGCUGUCGUCAGUACGUGCUGUGAGGUGUUGGGUUAAGUCCCGUAACGAACGCAACCCUUGUGGUUAGUUGCCACCGGCGGUGAUGAGCCGUCGAGCACUCUAGCCAGACUGCCCGUACAAGCGGGAGGAAGGUGGGGAUGACGUCAAGUCAGUAUGGCCCUUACGCCCUGGGCUGCACACGUGCUACAAUGGACGGUACAAUGGGCUGCAAUACCGCGAGGUGGAGCAAAUCCGGAAAACCGUCCUCAGUUCGGAUUGGAGUCUGCAACUCGACUCCAUGAAGUUGGAUUCGCUAGUAACGGCGCAUCAGCUACGGCGCCGUGAAUACGUUCCCGGGCCUUGUACACACCGCCCGUCACAUCAUGAAAGCCGUCUGCACCCGAAGUCGCUGAUCCAACCCGCAAGGGAGGAAGGUGCCGAAGGUGUGGGUGGUGAUUGGGAUGAAGUAACAAGGUA